This 447-nucleotide ribosomal RNA is filed under the name uncultured bacterium. RNAcentral's name for it is "bacterial SSU rRNA". It matches the Rfam family "Bacterial small subunit ribosomal RNA", at positions 954 to 1392 of the family's 1533-position model. The record is from RNAcentral.
GCUUAACGCGAAGAACCUUACCAGGACUUGACAUGGAGGGGACCGGACGAGAGAUCGUUCUUCUUCCGCAAGGAAGCCCCUCACACAGGUGCUGCAUGGCUGUCGUCAGCUCGUGUCGUGAGAUGUUGGGUUAAGUCCCGCAACGAGCGCAACCCUCGUUUUUAGUUGCCAUCAUUCAGUUGGGCACUCUAAAGAGACUGCCGCGAAUAACGCGGAGGAAGGGUGGGGACGACGUCAAGUCAUNAUCGGCCCUUACCGUCCGUGGGCUACACACGUGCUACAAGUGGGCGUCACAGGAGGGUCGCAAGAGCGCAAGCUGGAGACCCAACCCCAAAAACGUCCUCAGUUCAGAUCGAGGUCUGCAACCCGACCUCGUGAAGGUGGAAUCGCUAGUAAUCGCGGAUCAGAACGCCGCGGUGAAUACGUUCCCGGGUCUUGUACACACCG